GAAAAGAAACCAACAGGGAUUGCCUCAGUAGCGGCGAGUGAAGCGGCAAAAGCUCAAAUUUGAAAUCUGGCGUCUUUGGCGUCCGAGUUGUAAUUUGAAGAAGGUAUCUUUGGGCCCGGCUCUUGUCUAUGUUCCUUGGAACAGGACGUCACAGAGGGUGAGAAUCCCGUGCGAUGAGAUGACCCGGGUCUGUGUAAAGUUCCUUCGACGAGUCGAGUUGUUUGGGAAUGCAGCUCUAAGUGGGUGGUAAAUUCCAUCUAAAGCUAAAUAUUGGCGAGAGACCGAUAGCGAACAAGUACAGUGAUGGAAAGAUGAAAAGAACUUUGAAAAGAGAGUGAAAAAGUACGUGAAAUUGUUGAAAGGGAAGGGCUUGAGAUCAGACUUGGUAUUUUGCAUGCUGCUCUCUCGGGGGCGGCCGCUGCGGUUUACCGGGCCAGCAUCGGUUUGGAGCGGCAGGAUAAUGGCGGAGGAAUGUGGCACGGCUUCUGCUGUGUGUUAUAGCCUCUGACGAUACUGCCAGCCUAGACCGAGGACUGCGGUUUUUACCUAGGAUGUUGGCAUAAUGAUCUUAAGUCGCCCGUCU
This 583-nucleotide ribosomal RNA is filed under the name Candida albicans. Its description in RNAcentral is "eukaryotic LSU rRNA". It matches the Rfam family "Eukaryotic large subunit ribosomal RNA", at positions 56 to 654 of the family's 3401-position model. Lineage: Eukaryota; Fungi; Ascomycota; Pichiomycetes; Serinales; Debaryomycetaceae. The record is from RNAcentral.